Molecule: ribosomal RNA, 473 nt
Filed under: uncultured bacterium
Lineage: Bacteria
Description: partial 16S ribosomal RNA
Rfam family: Bacterial small subunit ribosomal RNA
Source: RNAcentral
GAUGAACGCUGGCGGUAUGCUUAACACAUGCAAGUCGAACGGUACCUUCGGGUAUAGUGGCGGACGGGUGAGUAACGCGUGAGAAUCUAUCUUCAGGUCGGGGACAACAGUUAGAAAUGACUGCUAAUACCGGAUGUGCCGAAAGGUAAAAGAUUUAUUGCCUGAAAAAGAGCUCGCGUCAGAUUAGCUAGUAGGUGGUGUAAGAGACUACCUAGGCUUCGAUCUGUAGCUGGUCUGAGAGGACGAUCAGCCACACUGGAACUGAGACACGGUCCAGACUCCGCCGGGAGGCAGGAGUGGGGAAUUGCCCGCGAUGGGCGAAAGCCUGACGGAGAAAUGCCGCGUGAGAGACGCACGUUCUUGGGUCUAAAACCUUUUUCCCGAAGGAAUAUUCAGACGUUACUUGAGGAAUAACCAUCGUUCAACUCGGUCCCAGCAGCCGAGGUAAUAAUCGGAACAGCACACGCCUAAAC